This 253-nucleotide ribosomal RNA is filed under the name uncultured bacterium. RNAcentral describes it as "partial 16S ribosomal RNA". It matches the Rfam family "Bacterial small subunit ribosomal RNA", at positions 524 to 776 of the family's 1533-position model. The record is from RNAcentral.
UACGUAGGGGGCAAGCGUUGUCCGGAAUUAUUGGGCGUAAAGCGCGUGUAGGCGGUCCGAUAAGUCGGCUGUGAAAGUCCAGGGCUCAACUCUGGAAUGCCGGCCGAUACUGUCGGACUAGAGUCCGGAAGAGGUGAGUGGAAUUCCCGGUGUAGCGGUGAAAUGCGCAGAUAUCGGGAGGAACACCAAUGGCGAAGGCAGCUCACUGGGACGGCACUGACGCUGAGACGCGAAAGCGUGGGGAGCGAACAGG